Molecule: ribosomal RNA, 551 nt
Filed under: uncultured bacterium
Lineage: Bacteria
Description: bacterial SSU rRNA
Rfam family: Bacterial small subunit ribosomal RNA
Source: RNAcentral
UAGGGAAUCUUCGGCAAUGGACGGAAGUCUGACCGAGCAACGCCGCGUGAGUGAAGAAGGUUUUCGGAUCGUAAAGCUCUGUUGUAAGAGAAGAACGAGUGUGAGAGUGGAAAGUUCACACUGUGACGGUAUCUUACCAGAAAGGGACGGCUAACUACGUGCCAGCAGCCGCGGUAAUACGUAGGUCCCGAGCGUUGUCCGGAUUUAUUGGGCGUAAAGCGAGCGCAGGCGGUUAGAUAAGUCUGAAGUUAAAGGCUGUGGCUUAACCAUAGUACGCUUUGGAAACUGUUUAACUUGAGUGCAAGAGGGGAGAGUGGAAUUCCAUGUGUAGCGGUGAAAUGCGUAGAUAUAUGGAGGAACACCGGUGGCGAAAGCGGCUCUCUGGCUUGUAACUGACGCUGAGGCUCGAAAGCGUGGGGAGCAAACAGGAUUAGAUACCCUGGUAGUCCACGCCGUAAACGAUGAGUGCUAGGUGUUAGACCCUUUCCGGGGUUUAGUGCCNGCAGCUAACGCAUUAAGCACUCCGCCUGGGGAGUACGACCGCAAGGUUG